CUUGUCCGGUGAUGUUUACAAAAAAGAUUACCCAUGUUGAUGAUGAGGCGUUUACAAAUAAAAUUGUUAGCAGAGACGAUGGAAAAAGCUACUGCAAAAGCUGCUGUCACCACAGAUAUAAUUGAUAAUCCAUCAUGUUAAUCCUCGAUGGCUUCAUCCUCAUCCACUUCGAUCUUAAUCAGUUGUAAGACACUUCAUCGAGAACAGUAUAACUGUAACAGCAAUUCCAACGAUGGAUCAUCGUCCGAUUGUUCGCUUUUUUUCCAAACCUACAAGCUCUGAAAUAUUCUCCGAAAGAGUGUAUAGUCCUGAACAAAAGCACCAUUGAUGUACCCUGCAUGCAUUGAUUCAAUCCUCAACAUCCCUGUAGGAAAGUGAUGUGGUACAAAUAAAAAUAAAUAAACAUUCACCGGAUUGUGUACUUAAUUCAUAAGCAUAAAGAAAAAGAAGAAAAAUAUACCCCUUGUAUUUCGAUGGGCGGGUGAAACGAAAGAGUAUCGUCGGGAGGGAAACAUAAUGAACGCCGCUAUAUAAACGGCCGCGCAAUUUCGAGCGAGCUGAUUCUUAACUUGGAUGCAGAAGAGCACACAGUGGAAAGCAGCUAAACCAACUUUUCGGACAUUAGUGGAUCGGGCACAGCAGCAGCAACAGAGGAACCGACCAUUUGGACAGUAGCGGAGCACACAUCGGACAACAGCAGCGGAGUGCGCAUCGGGCAGCAGCAGCAGAGUUUAAUCGUAUAGUAGCGGAGCGUACUUUUGGGACAGCAUCAGCGGAGCACACAUCGAGCAGCAGCAGCAGCGGGGUACUUUUCAAUCGGCGGAAGGAAAAUCGUAACCAGACAGCAAAAAUGAUGUCCGGAUACGACAAUCCCCUUCUUCUGUUACCACAAGAUGAUCACUCACCUUCGGAACAACAGAACAUCUAUCCGACCCACAAGAUACGAAAAUCGACCUUGUACUCGUUUAACUAUUCUUCCGGCAAUGCUCACCGUCAGAAUGGAGUAGGUGAAUGUUAUGCGGAUGAAAUCACACCAACGAGCUUAUCGAGCUUAUUUCACUCUAAGCAUAGACCAUCGCAAAUGUAACCAAAUUGAAUAUCCAAGCAAACUCAACGAUGUUAACGGUCGAUACCAUCAAAGCUAGGUGUUGCUGCUGUCGAUGUAGACAAUUCCAACAAAGAAAUCUGCUUUCGCCGGAAUUUCACUGAUGAUGAUACAAUCUGAUACUGUGAACGCCAGCAGCAAAGAUCUGCUAGUUCAUGAUUUUGUGCAAGAGUAUAGUGUAUGUAUGUAAAUUGAAUGUACAGAAAAUAAAUAUUUG
Long non-coding RNA from Toxorhynchites rutilus septentrionalis, 1322 nucleotides. RefSeq lists it as uncharacterized. The transcript is spliced from 3 exons. The record is from RefSeq and is a predicted model, not a curated record. NCBI's taxonomy places the organism in Eukaryota, Metazoa, Arthropoda, Insecta, Diptera, Culicidae.